AACCCAACAGGCGCAAUGAAAGUGAAGGCUCGGUCGCCGGGCUGACAUGCGAGUGCCGUGGUUUCGGCCCAGGCAUGCAGCAUGGUCCCAUUGCAAUCGUUUACGAUGCAGUGGAGACAGAGCGUAUGCGCUGAGACCCGAAAGAUGGGGAACUAUUCCUGAGCAGGACGAAGCCAGAGGAAACUCUGGUGGAAGUCCGAAG
This 202-nucleotide ribosomal RNA is filed under the name Mesocriconema xenoplax. RNAcentral's name for it is "partial large subunit ribosomal RNA". It matches the Rfam family "Eukaryotic large subunit ribosomal RNA", at positions 704 to 880 of the family's 3401-position model. Lineage: Eukaryota; Metazoa; Nematoda; Chromadorea; Rhabditida; Criconematidae. The record is from RNAcentral.